This 77-nucleotide transfer RNA is filed under the name Aquisphaera giovannonii. RNAcentral describes it as "tRNA-Glu". It matches the Rfam family "tRNA". Rfam says of the family: Transfer RNA (tRNA) molecules are approximately 80 nucleotides in length. Their secondary structure includes four short double-helical elements and three loops (D, anti-codon, and T loops). The record is from RNAcentral. Lineage: Bacteria; Pseudomonadati; Planctomycetota; Planctomycetia; Isosphaerales; Isosphaeraceae.
UGGGGCCGUAGCUCAGCGGUAGAGCGGCCCGACCCUCAAUCGGGAUGGCGGCCGGUUCAACUCCGGCCGGCCCCAUC